RNAcentral lists this ribosomal RNA (460 nucleotides) under uncultured bacterium. RNAcentral describes it as "partial 16S ribosomal RNA". It matches the Rfam family "Bacterial small subunit ribosomal RNA", at positions 338 to 795 of the family's 1533-position model. The record is from RNAcentral.
CCUACGGGAGGCAGCAGUGAGGAAUAUUGGUCAAUGGGCGAGAGCCUGAACCAGCCAAGUCGCGUGAAGGAUGACGGCCCUACGGGUUGUAAACUUCUUUUGUCAGGGAGCAAUUGGGUCCACGCGUGGGCUUAGCGAGAGUACCUGAAGAAAACGCAUCCGCUAACCCCGUCCCAGCAGCCGCGGUAAUACGGAGGAUGCGAGCGUUAUCCGGAUUUAUUGGGUUUAAGGGGUGCGUAGGCGGAAUAUUAAGUCAGCGGUAAAAAUUCGGGGCUCAACCCCGUCGUGCCGUUGAAACUGGUGUUCUGGAGUGGGCGAGAAGUAUGCGGAAUGCGUGGUGUAGCGGUGAAAUGCUUAGAUAUCGCGCAGAACUCCGAUUGCGAAGGCAGCAUACCGGCGCCCAACUGACGCUGAAGCACGAAAGCGUGGGUAUCGAACAGGAUUAGAUACCCGAGUAGUC